RNAcentral lists this long non-coding RNA (237 nucleotides) under Lathyrus oleraceus (garden pea). Its description in RNAcentral is "Pisum sativum (pea) long non-coding RNA (PSAT_LNC029969)". Lineage: Eukaryota; Viridiplantae; Streptophyta; Magnoliopsida; Fabales; Fabaceae. The record is from RNAcentral.
UUGACGUUAAUGUGGAUAUUAUUGUUGAUGUUUUUAUUGGUAUUGUGGUCUUCCUCUACCCCUCUAAGCAUAAACAACACUUGAUUCACCCCUCUUCUUGUUGGGGUAUCCACUAAACAUCUUCUUACCAGCCCCACUUGCAGAACUACCAGCAUUAGCUAACUGAAUUUUCCUCAUUUUGAGACCAGAUUCAAUCCUCUCUCCAUCCAUUCCCAAUUCGGAAAAACCAGUAGAAGU